AGCAGCCGCGGUAAUUCCAGCUCCAAUAGCGUAUAUUAAAGUUGUUGCAGUUAAAAAGCUCGUAGUUGAAUUUCGAGAUCAAUUUGUUGGUCGUGCCUCGGUACGUACUGGCAAUUUUGAUUUCUCCCUUCUGAAGAACCAUGAUGUCAUUAAUUUGGUGUCAUGGGGAAUCAGGACCGUUACUUUGAAAAAUUAGAGUGUUUAAAGCAGGCUCGCGCUUGAAUACAUUAGCAUGGAAUAAUGAAAUAGGACGUUUGAUUCUAUUUUGUUGGUUUCUAGGAUCGACGUAAUGAUUAAUAGGGAUAGUUGGGGGCAUUAGUAUUCAAUUGUCAGAGGUGAAAUUCUUGGAUUUAUUGAAGACUAACUACUGCGAAAGCAUUUGCCAAGGAUGUUUUCAUUAAUCAAGAACGAAAGUUAGGGGAAUCGAAGACGAUCAGAUACCGUCGUAGU
This 450-nucleotide ribosomal RNA is filed under the name uncultured Glomeromycotina. RNAcentral's name for it is "SSU rRNA". It matches the Rfam family "Eukaryotic small subunit ribosomal RNA", at positions 569 to 1024 of the family's 1831-position model. Lineage: Eukaryota; Fungi; Glomeromycota. The record is from RNAcentral.